CAAUAGCGUAUAUUUAAGUUGUUGCAGUUAAAAAGCUCGUAGUCGGAUUUUGGCUGAGAACGAUCGGUCCGCCGUUAGGUGUGCACUGAUUGGUCUCAGCUUCCUGGUGAGGAGGUGUGCUUCACGGCCACUUAGUCACCGUGGUUACUUUGAAAAAAUUAGAGUGUUCAAAGCGGGCUUACGCUUGAAUAUAUUAGCAUGGAAUAACACCAUAGGACUCCUGUCCUAUUUCGUUGGUCUCGGGACGGGAGUAAUGAUUAAGAGGAACAGUUGGGGGCAUUCGUAUUUCAUUGUCAGAGGUGAAAUUCUUGGAUUUAUGAAAGACGAACUUCUGCGAAAGCAUUUGCCAAGGAUGUUUNCAUUGA
Molecule: ribosomal RNA, 365 nt
Filed under: uncultured eukaryote
Lineage: Eukaryota
Description: partial 18S ribosomal RNA
Rfam family: Eukaryotic small subunit ribosomal RNA
Source: RNAcentral